AGAAGAAUUUUAAUUAUAAUUUUAAUUGUAGACUUUUCAAUUUAAUUCGAAGUUCAAAAAUUAACAAUUGCUCGAUAUAAUAGAGAAGUAGUUAAAAAUGAUAUAUAUAAGAAAUUUUAGUAGUUUUAAUUCACUAUGUAAGUGAAACGUGUCAUAUAAACAGAUGAAAAACGAUUGCAUAAAGAUGAAAAAUAAAUUUAAAAAAAUGGUAUUAGUGAAAAAAAAAAACCGGGAAUAAUAUCAGGUUAAUAAAAUACAGGUUUUUUUUCUAUCGACGAGUUAAUAACUAAAUAGCUGGGUAAUUAUCCUCUUCUAUUUGAACUCGGAAUAUUUUUUAAUGGAAAUGAAAUAUUCUCUUUGCAACGUUCGCGACGGAGUAAAAAUACGUAUAAAGCAGGGGCUGAAAUACGACUUUUGAUUUCAGUCAGAUUGCUAAUACUGCAAGUACGGUGAUUCUCCGUAAAAGAAAUAUAUUCAAAUUGCAUAAUCCAGUCCUCUUAUGUGGAAUAUAUAAUAUUAAAAUCUUGGAAAUCUCUCACGCUAUUAAUUCAAGCUUUUUAUGUUCACAGUCGAAGUUGGACAAACAAUUCAGUAGAAAGAAAUGUGAACAACCAUUAACCGCUUUAUCAUUUCACUAAUUAUUUCCGCAGAGGGUAUUUUCUAUCGGUUCCAACUCGGUUUUCUAUUUUUCAAAAUGCUUAAACAGCUUGAACGAAACUUCGUAUUUCUCUGUCCGAGCAAGCUCUCAGAGUAAAAAGUAAUAAUCUCUUUCAGAAACAAUGUCCCAGAGAUUAUGCCAAUGUAUCUUCUGUUUCUUUCACGAAGAAUCAUCCCCUACAACUGCAGGCCAUUUUCGUUUUCGUAAAUUUUCAUUCAUUUUUAACUUCUGACGUGUGUCCGUGUGUAUGUGUGUGCGUGUGUCUGACGUGUAUGUGUCUGUGUUGCGUGUGCGUUGCGAACGAUUGUUGCAUUCUCUUCAUCGGCAUGCAACCGAAUCGGUUGAAGACCUUUCUCUUCACUUUGAAAUGCCAAACGCAGAUGAUGACAGUGUUUCGGGUGUCUGUUGCAGUACGGCAGUCCCGGCUCGGGGUGGCGACAUCUUAACGCGAAGUGGCGUUCGCCUAGAUCGUCUGCAACGCACGGGAAGGUCUUCCCGCAAUUAUACCAUCGGCUGGGGCAUGCACCGAUGAUCGACCACGUCUGCGAACCUCGACGACGAUGACCACCACGGCGACGAGAAUGCUCGACCAUUCGCUUUAUCAAUCGGACGUGCUUGUCAUUUGAAACGGGAAGAGAAGCUUGAAAGUUUGAUAUAUGUAUAUACGAUUUUACGAUGAAUGACAAUUCGCGCUUGAAAGUUCGCUCCAACAUAGAUCACGCGAUUUAGAGAUUAGAUUUAACCUUUAAUUGCUACUGCGAGAUACUCAGACGCUUUUAGAUUCUAGAAAUAUUGUUAUAUCGUUUAUUCUUAACAAACGGCACUGAUAAUGAGUGUCGCUAAUUUUCAGUUGGUGGUUUGUUACCGAUUAUGCGAUGUUAAAUCUUCGUUGAUAUUUGUCAAAGCUGUAGCGUCGUAAUAUUUUAUAAUGUUUCUUGAUGUAUUUUGCUGAAUUAUUUACGAUACUCAGUUUGAUAUUCGAUCCUCGCAAUAUUCGAUAUCAGACGAAGACUAAUGGAAUGUCAUAA
Molecule: long non-coding RNA, 1686 nt
Organism: Frieseomelitta varia
Lineage: Eukaryota; Metazoa; Arthropoda; Insecta; Hymenoptera; Apidae
Exons: 2
Source: RefSeq, a predicted model, not a curated record